AUUGAACGCUGGCGGCAGGCCUAACACAUGCAAGUCGAGCGGAUGAAGGGAGCUUGCUCCUGGAUUCAGCGGCGGACGGGUGAGUAAUGCCUAGGAAUCUGCCUGGUAGUUGGGGAUAACGUCCGGAAACGGGCGCUAAUACCGCAUACGUCCUUAGGUAGAAAGGGGGGGAUCUUCGGACCUCACGCUAUCAGAUGAGCCUAGGUCGGAUUAGCUAGUUGGUGGGGUAAAGGCCUACCAAGGCGACGAUCCGUAACUGGUCUGAGAGGAUGAUCAGUCACACUGGAACUGAGACACGGUCCAGACUCCUACGGGAGGCAGCAGUGGGGAAUAUUGGACAAUGGGCGAAAGCCUGAUCCAGCCAUGCCGCGUGUGUGAAGAAGGUCUUCGGAUUGUAAAGCACUUUAAGUUGGGAGGAAGGGCAGUAAGUUAAUACCUUGCUGUUUUGACGUUACCAACAGAAUAAGCACCGGCUAACUUCGUG
RNAcentral lists this ribosomal RNA (484 nucleotides) under uncultured bacterium. RNAcentral's name for it is "partial 16S ribosomal RNA". It matches the Rfam family "Bacterial small subunit ribosomal RNA", at positions 30 to 507 of the family's 1533-position model. The record is from RNAcentral.